AGAGUUUGAUCCUGGCUCAGGAUGAACGCUAGCGGCAGGCCUAAUACAUGCAAGUCGAGCGGCAAGUCGAGGAGUAAUCUGAGACCUAGAGCGGCGUACGGGUGCGUAACGCGUAUGCAACCUACCUCAUACAGGGGGAUAGCCCGGAGAAAUCUGGAUUAAUACCCCAUGGCACAGCACAAGGGCAUCUGCGAGCUGUUAAAGAUUCAUCGGUAUGAGAUGGGCAUGCGUCUGAUUAGCUAGUUGGCGGUGUAACGGACCACCAAGGCGACGAUCAGUAGGGGUUCUGAGAGGAAGGUCCCCCACACUGGCACUGAGAUACGGGCCAGACUCCUACGGGAGGCAGCAGUAGGGAAUAUUGGGCAAUGGACGAGAGUCUGACCCAGCCAUGCCGCGUGCAGGAAGACGGCGUUCUGCGUUGUAAACUGCUUUUAUCUGGGAAGAAAAAGUCCAUGCGUGGAAAAUUGCCGGUACCAGAUGAAUAAGCACCGGCUAACUCCGUGCCAGCAGCCGCGGUAAUAC
Molecule: ribosomal RNA, 522 nt
Filed under: uncultured bacterium
Lineage: Bacteria
Description: bacterial SSU rRNA
Rfam family: Bacterial small subunit ribosomal RNA
Source: RNAcentral